This 913-nucleotide ribosomal RNA is filed under the name uncultured bacterium. Its description in RNAcentral is "bacterial SSU rRNA". It matches the Rfam family "Bacterial small subunit ribosomal RNA", at positions 8 to 916 of the family's 1533-position model. The record is from RNAcentral.
AGAGUUUGAUCAUGGCUCAGAACGAACGCUGGCGGCGCGCCUAAUACAUGCAAGUCGAACGAGAAUGUGUAGCAAUACACAUGUACAGUGGCGAACGGGUGAGGACUACAUGGGUAACCUACCCUCGAGUGGGGAAUAACUAGCCGAAAGGUUAGCUAAUACCGCGUACGCUUCCCGGACUGCGGUUCGGGAAGGAAAGCGAUACCGUGGGUAUCGCGCUCUUGGAUGGGCUCAUGCCCUAUCAGCUUGUUGGUGAGGUAACGGCUCACCAAGGCUUCGACGGGUAGCUGAUCUGAGAGGAUGAUCAGCCACACUGGCACUGCGACACGGGCCAGACUCCUACGGGAGGCAGCAGUAAGGAAUAUUGCGCAAUGGGCGAAAGCCUGACGCAGCGACGCCGCGUGGGGGAUGAAGGUCUUCGGAUUGUAAACCCCUUUCGGGAGGGAAGAUGGGAUGGGGUUACCCAUUCGGACGGUACCUCCAGAAGCAGCCACGGCUAACUUCGUGCCAGCAGCCGCGGUAAUACGAAGGUGGCAAGCGUUGUUCGGAUUUACUGGGCGUACAGGGAGCGUAGGCGGUUGGAUAAGCCCUCCGUGAAAUCUCCAGGCUUAACCUGGAAAGUGCAGAGGGGACUGUUCAGCUAGAGGAUGGGAGAGGAGCGCGGAAUUCCCGGUGUAGCGGUGAAAUGCGUAGAGAUCGGGAGGAAGGCCGGUGGCGAAGGCGGCGCUCUGGAACAUUUCUGACGCUGAGGCUCGAAAGCGUGGGGAGCAAACAGGAUUAGAUACCCUGGUAGUCCACGCCUUAAACGAUGGAUACUAAGUGUCGGCGGGUUACCGCCGGUGCCGCAGCUAACGCAGUAAGUAUCCCGCCUGGGAAGUACGGCCGCAAGGUUGAAACUCAAAUGAAUUGACGG